Long non-coding RNA from Otolemur garnettii (small-eared galago), 2005 nucleotides. RefSeq lists it as uncharacterized. The transcript has 4 exons. Lineage: Eukaryota; Metazoa; Chordata; Mammalia; Primates; Galagidae. The record is from RefSeq and is a predicted model, not a curated record.
UUAUGGUAGCUUGUUCCUUUUGGCGCUCUCCCCAUCUCCGGUUCUCUGCAACAGGGCGUUGGAAUGAGGGAUGCACCUGUCCUGAGGGUUCCGGGCCUUUGGGGGGAGCAACCACGUGCUCUCGUAGACUGGGGUUUCGCGGGGAUAAUGGCGACACUUUGUGGGUACCUGGCCGGUGGCAGUUCCUACUGCUAGGGCGAACAUGGGAGUGGGGAGUUGUCCUGGGCACUGGCCUUUAGUCUGCGCCGCAGUCGGGCCUCGCGGUUUCUACUUCCCGGGUCGCUGUCUCCGCCAUCUUGAUUUUUCUGGGCGCGGGAGGGGAAGGGGCGGUAAGGUCUUUCUGAGGUUCCCUACUCGCUUAUUAGCUGCGUGCGCUUUCUAUAGGAAGUAGCUCGAUUUUUUCAAUUCUGGGCAGCUGGCAUUGUUGUGCGACCCUGGACACAGACUAUGGGGGAUGGGAGGGGAAGCGGUGUUGCAGUUUGUAUAGGUGCAGAGACGGGGUAUGGAGUCAGAAAAAAAGUGGGAGUGAGGUGGUUCUAAAUAAACUGUUGGCUUGUUUCUGAGAGCCAGAUAGGAAUGGGUCUAGGAGAAAACAAGCCUUUGUCCACAUGCAGGAAUGAUUCUGACAGUUAAAUCCUAACUGUAGGCAGUGGCCUCGUUACAGACGACUCGCCUGAAGGCGUACGUAACCAAGGAGCUCCCCAUGCUCAUUGUCUCAUUGAAGUGGGAUUUGCUUAACUUGAGGGGUGUGUCUUCAAGCUCGGGCCUCCUUCCACACUCCAUCAUGGUGACUCCUCCAGGUGCUGUAUGGCCCAGCCAUCACUCUGGCUGCAUCCCUCUGGGCUCUUGGCUGUCCCCUGCCUUGGAGCAGCAGAGGCCAUGGCUGUGAAUGCUGGCACCAACCUAGGUGGCCAGGGGACCAGUUCUACACAUUCUGCAUGUUCUCCACAUACACCAAGCUUCAAGGAGAACCCCAGACAGCUCAUGAUAAUCUGUAUCCUGCAGGGGCAUGAUGGGGAACCAUGCCCUGUCCCUAAAUUCCAGGGAGCUGGUGCUACUAACCUGACUUGUGACUCUUGUCUUCAACUACCACCUCAAGGUCCCAGAGGGGACCUGGUGCCAGCGCUGAGUCCUUCCUGCCCCUUGGCCCUGGACUACCAGGGAGGAGAGUGUCCAGCUAGAUCUGUCAUGAGCCACUCUUAGCCCCCUCAUCUCUUGUCCCCCUGUCCCAAGCUGCCUGAUGAUACCCUUUUUACUCAGUUGCAGCUCUUACUAGUCAGCCUGCUAGUCAAGGUACAGGAGAGCUCAAAGCCAUCACCAGAGGCCUGGUGGAGCCAGGCUGCACCAGGCUCAGGCUGGCUCCUCUGGCACUAUGUGCAGGGAGGAGGGUCCUGGAGCUGUUCAAGGAAGAGGGACAAACCCCACGUCAGGUGACCAGGCCCAAGGGAGGAGCUGCACACAGCACAGCCAGGGCUGGGAGGCCAAGUUCCAGUCGAGUUGGGGCCAAGCAAGUCAGUACCUUGCUUGUGGGUGAGCCAUAGACAGACAUGUUCAAAAGCCCUAGAAGAAGGAUGUCCUUGAUUGCACCUACCCCUGUGGAUUUCACUGGCCAGAGCCAAUGGGAGGAACAAGCACUGUUGGCCAUUUAUUGCAAGUCUGUGGGUGCAGAAAUUUUGCGCAGAAUUUUUUUAAAGGCUUUUUGUUUGUUUUUGUAGAGUAUUUUUGCUCAAUGCUUUCAGGAUAGGUGCCGCUUGGGAUUUAUUCCUCUUUGUGAAGGUUGUCCUCAUGGCCAAGUUUUGGGGGGUUUUGUUUGCUAUUUAUGGGCAGCCAGUCCCUCCAGGUGGGUCUAGUUUCUCUAGUGGCCCCAGGCCAUUCCGGGCCUGGGUUCAGAGUGUGUUUAGGCAGAGUCACAGAAAAGAACUCCACAAGGGCAGAGCCCUGGUGGUUGUGGCUCUAUAACCCUGGUGCUGGGUGCAUAGGAUCACUCAUUAAAUGGCUGAUGGCA